RNAcentral lists this ribosomal RNA (447 nucleotides) under uncultured bacterium. RNAcentral's name for it is "partial 16S ribosomal RNA". It matches the Rfam family "Bacterial small subunit ribosomal RNA", at positions 29 to 523 of the family's 1533-position model. The record is from RNAcentral.
AACGAACGCUGGCGGCAGGCCUAAUACAUGCAAGUCGAACGCACCGCAAGGUGAGUGGCAGACGGGUGAGUAACGCGUGGGAACCUUCCUUGCAGUACGGAAUAACUCCGGGAAACCGGUGCUAAUACCGUAUACGCCCUCCGGGGGAAAGAUUUAUCGCUGCAAGAUGGGCCCGCGUCGGAUUAGCUAGUUGGUGGGGUAAUGGCCUACCAAGGCUACGAUCCGUAGCUGGUCUGAGAGGAUGAUCAGCCACACUGGGACUGAGACACGGCCCAGACUCCUACGGGAGGCAGCAGUAGGGAAUAUUGGACAAUGGGCGAAAGCCUGAUCCAGCCAUGCCGCGUGAGUGAAGAAGGCCUUAGGGUUGUAAAGCUCUUUUGGCGGGGACGAUAAUGACGGUACCCGCAGAAUAAGCUCCGGCUAACUUCGUGCCAGCCGCCGCCGUAA